UUGAAAUAACUGGAGAAGAUUAGAAACGUACACGUCUUCACCUGAGUAACAUCGACAGAGUAACUCGCACUUUUUAAUUUAUUUAUUUAAUUAUUCGAGUCGAAGGAGGAAAUGCGAGAUUGGAUUUAACAUGGGAGCUCCAGCAGCAGGGGAAAACUCCAACAGCCAAAGUCGCUGUAAAAUGUUUUGAAUAGUUCAUAACAUUUUCAGUGGUCAUUGAAAACAAAGGCAAGCUCAAUUUCCCUUGAUGGAGGAAUUUGGAUAUAUCGCUUAACAUAAAAAAUCAAGAAGUGAAACUUCGAGUGGAAGCGAAAGCACAGGAGAAAAAGAAGACUCCGAAGUUAGAUCGUAACCUAAUGAUCCAGAAUAAACCCGUGUCUCAGCCUCUAAACCAGUGUUUUAGAA
This is a long non-coding RNA of Haplochromis burtoni (Burton's mouthbrooder), 405 nucleotides long. RefSeq lists it as uncharacterized. The record is from RefSeq and is a predicted model, not a curated record. NCBI's taxonomy places the organism in Eukaryota, Metazoa, Chordata, Actinopteri, Cichliformes, Cichlidae. The transcript is spliced from 2 exons.